This 612-nucleotide long non-coding RNA is filed under the name Homo sapiens (human). RNAcentral's name for it is "HSALNT0377908". The record is from RNAcentral. Lineage: Eukaryota; Metazoa; Chordata; Mammalia; Primates; Hominidae.
CGUCUAUUCCGGAAAACCGUAUUUAAAAGCAGGAUUGACGACCAAAGAAAAAUGAGAAAGUAACAUUUUAAUGUGGAGCUUAGUAAUCGCCUAGAAUGAAUGGCGAUAUACAGUUUACUGCACCCUCCAAUGCGCAAAAGAGGCAGGAUGGCAAAAUUCAUGACUAUCUUAAGCAAGCCAGGAGACUGCUAAAAAGUGUGGGCCUCAUUCUAAGUCUGACUUCCCUAAUGCUCAGAAGAUGGCUAUGUUGAGUCCACAAACUUUUGAAUUCAGAAACAAGAUUGAGUUGAUUUCAGAAGCUCUCCCAGAAGAUCAAGAAAGAACUUUCCAGGAUCUCCAGGAACCUGAAUUGAGUCAUACGCCAAAGAAAGUAGCUUAGAAGUGACCAAUAUGUCAAGGUCCCAUGAGAAGACUGAAAAAAAGAGAAGAAAGAGGAAAGAAAAGAAUGACAAGAAAGAGAAAGAAAGAAACCAAUAUGCUCUUUGUUCUUUGCUUUUGCUUCCUCAAGCUUUUCUCUGUCUACAAAGCCAACCUCUCCUGCUCAGCUCAUCAGAACAUUCACUCCACUUUCUGGAAUGAAGUGUUGCCUGAUCCUAGAGUCGCAAUAAAGCC